Molecule: ribosomal RNA, 254 nt
Filed under: uncultured bacterium
Lineage: Bacteria
Description: partial 16S ribosomal RNA
Rfam family: Bacterial small subunit ribosomal RNA
Source: RNAcentral
UACGGGGGGGGCAAGCGUUGUUCGGAAUUACUGGGCGUAAAGGGCUCGUAGGUGGCCAACUAAGUCAGACGUGAAAUCCCUCGGCUUAACCGGGGAACUGCGUCUGAUACUGGAUGGCUUGAGUUCGGGAGAGGGAUGCGGAAUUCCAGGUGUAGCGGUGAAAUGCGUAGAUAUCUGGAGGAACACCGGUGGCGAAGGCGGCAUCCUGGACCGACACUGACGCUGACAGCGCGAAAGCCAGGGGAGCAAACGGG